RNAcentral lists this long non-coding RNA (831 nucleotides) under Rattus norvegicus (Norway rat). Its description in RNAcentral is "long non-coding RNA NONRATT008954". The stretch from base 763 to 831 matches the Rfam family "tRNA". The record is from RNAcentral. Lineage: Eukaryota; Metazoa; Chordata; Mammalia; Rodentia; Muridae.
UCCAGAAUGGAAAACCUGUGAGGUAUUAUCAUCAAAGCAGCAAUUUUUCAAUCCCCAAAGCCAACCACAGUCACAGUGGGAACUACUAUUGCAAAGCAUAUCUAGGAAGGACAAUGCACGUGUCCAAGCCUGUCACCAUCACUGUCCAAGAGCCCAAAUCCAGCAGUUCGUUGCCGGUAUUGACGAUUGUAGCUGCUGUCGCUGGAAUUGCUGUAGCUGCCAUUGUUAUUAUCCUGGUAUCCUUGGUCUAUCUCAAGAAAAAGCAGGUUCCAGGUUGGUGGUUCUCUUUGGUCACUUUUAUUAUCAGUUCCUACUUAGCUGGGGCUAGCUAGUGGUUAGAGACUCAUUUGCUUUUGAUAUUGUCCUACCCUAUUCAUUUGUCUGCUUACAAACUCAUGUGAUAAACAUGACUUGAACAAACUCGAUGAUGUGCCAUGAACUGUGCUAGACCCUGAAGGUGUCUGGUUCCGUUUCUACCCCUAGCUCUUAGCACUGUGGGGAAUACCAGACACACCAGUGGAUACUUAUAAGAAGGGAUUAGAGCAACGAAAUGAUAAAGACAUGGCUGUUAUCUGGAGGUUGGAGCACAUUUCUCUCAUCCCAGGACAAUAAAGCAAAAGAGCUAAAGUCUGGAGCCAGGGUCAGUGAGAUGGUCCAGCCAGUGCAAAUGCUUACAGUACAAGCCCUGUGAUCUUAAUUCAACCUCUGGUAUCCAAGUUAAGGUGGAGAGAACUGAUCCUACAAAAGUAUCCUCUGGGGGUUGGGGAUUUAGCUCAGUGGUAGAGCGCUUGCCUAGCAAGCGCAAGGCCCUGGGUUCGGUCCCCAGCUCCG